Molecule: ribosomal RNA, 497 nt
Filed under: uncultured bacterium
Lineage: Bacteria
Description: partial 16S ribosomal RNA
Rfam family: Bacterial small subunit ribosomal RNA
Source: RNAcentral
GAUGAACGCUGGCGGCGUGCCUAAUACAUGCAAGUCGAGCGAACAGACGAGGAGCUUGCUCCUCUGACGUUAGCGGCGGACGGGUGAGUAACACGUGGAUAACCUACCUAUAAGACUGGGAUAACUUCGGGAAACCGGAGCUAAUACCGGAUAAUAUAUUGAACCGCAUGGUUCAAUAGUGAAAGACGGUUUUGCUGUCACUUAUAGAUGGAUCCGCGCCGCAUUAGCUAGUUGGUAAGGUAACGGCUUACCAAGGCAACGAUGCGUAGCCGACCUGAGAGGGUGAACCGCCAAAACGGAACUGAGACAAGGGCCAGAAUCCUAAGGGAGGCAACAGGAGGGAAACUUUCGCAAUGGGCGAAAGCCUGAAGGAGCAACGCCGCGUGAGUGAUGAAGGGCUUCGGAUCGUAAAAAUCUGUUAUUAGGGAAGAACAAAUGUGUAAGUAACUAUGCACGUCUUGACGGUACCUAAUCAGAAAGCCACGGCUAACUACGUG